RNAcentral lists this ribosomal RNA (468 nucleotides) under uncultured bacterium. RNAcentral's name for it is "partial 16S ribosomal RNA". It matches the Rfam family "Bacterial small subunit ribosomal RNA", at positions 28 to 507 of the family's 1533-position model. The record is from RNAcentral.
GACGAACGCUGGCGGCGUGCUUAACACAUGCAAGUCGAACGGAAAGGCCCUGCCUUUGUGGGGUGCUCGAGUGGCGAACGGGUGAGUAACACGUGAGUAACCUGCCCUUGACUUUGGGAUAACUUCAGGAAACUGGGGCUAAUACCGGAUAGGAGCUCCUGCUGCAUGGUGGGGGUUGGAAAGUUUCGGCGGUUGGGGAUGGACUCGCGGCUCAUCAGCUUGUUGGUGGGGUAGUGGCUUACCAAGGCUUUGACGGGUAGCCGGCCUGAGAGGGUGACCGGCCACAUUGGGACUGAGAUGCCGCCCAGCCUCCUACGGGAGGCAGCAGUGGGGAAUAUUGCACAGUGGGCGGAAGCCUGAUGCAGCAACGCCGCGUGCGGGAUGACGGCCCUCGGGUUGUAAACCGCUUUCGCCUGUGACGAAGCGUGAGUGACGGUAAUGGGUAAAAAAGCACCGGCUAACUACGUG